UACGUAGGGUGCGAGCGUUAAUCGGAAUUACUGGGCGUAAAGCGUGCGCAGGCGGUCUGUUAAGACCGAUGUGAAAUCCCCGGGCUUAACCUGGGAACUGCAUUGGUGACUGGCAGGCUUUGAGUGUGGCAGAGGGGGGUAGAAUUCCACGCGUAGCAGUGAAAUGCGUAGAGAUGUGGAGGAAUACCGAUGGCGAAGGCAGCCCCCUGGGCCAACACUGACGCUCAUGCACGAAAGCGUGGGGAGCAAACAGG
RNAcentral lists this ribosomal RNA (254 nucleotides) under uncultured bacterium. RNAcentral describes it as "partial 16S ribosomal RNA". It matches the Rfam family "Bacterial small subunit ribosomal RNA", at positions 524 to 776 of the family's 1533-position model. The record is from RNAcentral.